RNAcentral lists this ribosomal RNA (260 nucleotides) under uncultured bacterium. RNAcentral's name for it is "partial 16S ribosomal RNA". It matches the Rfam family "Bacterial small subunit ribosomal RNA", at positions 524 to 776 of the family's 1533-position model. The record is from RNAcentral.
UACGAAGGGGGCUAGCGUUGCUCGGAAUCACUGGGCGUAAAGGGUGCGUAGGCGGGUUUUUAAGUCAGAGGUGAAAUCCUGGAGCUACCAACGUCCAGAACUGGCCUUUUGAUUACUGAGAAUCUUGAGUUCGGGAGGAGGUGAGUGGGAACUGCGAGUGUAGAGGUGAAAUUCGUAGAUAUUCGCAAGAACACCAGUGGCGAAGGCGGCUCACUGGCCCGAUACUACGCUGAGGCACGAAAGCGUGGGGAGCAAACAGG